RNAcentral lists this long non-coding RNA (745 nucleotides) under Sorghum bicolor (sorghum). RNAcentral's name for it is "long non-coding RNA (SBIC_LNC016137)". Lineage: Eukaryota; Viridiplantae; Streptophyta; Magnoliopsida; Poales; Poaceae. The record is from RNAcentral.
GCACCUAAAAGUAUGUAACAUGUAUAUAUAAUAAGUUUAUUUCAUUUAUUUGUUGCUAUUUAAUAAAUCCUAUUCAUACCUCUAACUUUUUUCUUUGAUGUCUAUUAAAGGAGAUGUGGUUGAAGGAGCAGGUAUUGGAUGCGGUUCGCCUAAAAGGAAUUCAGGAGACAAUCGUAGGAUUUCUUAACGACCAAGUCCUAAAUCCCGGUGGCGAGUGCUACUUCAACCUUGAGGAGCCGAUGAAACCAAAUCACGAUGAUCAUUUGUACAAUGCUUGAGUGGCGGAGAUAAAUUGUGUUGUAAAUACUUUGUCCAUGAUGCAUAUGUAUAAAUAUUAUAUUAUGGACCUAUAGAUAUAUAUAAUAUAUAUAUAGUGUUUUAUAGUAUAUUUAUAUGUAAUGCUUUAAAUUAUAUAAAUUAUAGGUGCACGUUCCAUAAACUACCAGCAAACAAUACGCAUUCAAAAAUAAUAAUAACAUAAUUGUAAACCCUAAAUGGAAAACCAAAAGAAAAGAAAAGGAAAAAAGAAAAAAGUCUUUAGUCCCGGUUGGUAGCAACAACCGGGACUAAAAGUGGAGGCAAGGUGGCACACCCUGGCGCACCUUUUAGUCCCGGUUGUUGUUACAAACCGGGACUAAAGGUGGACCUUUAUUCUCGGUCCGCGGAACCGGGACUAAAGGUGGGACAUUUAGUCCCGAAACCUUAGCCCUGGUUUCAUAGCCAGGACUAAAGGCCCUUACGGCCC